RNAcentral lists this transfer RNA (86 nucleotides) under Elusimicrobium minutum Pei191. Its description in RNAcentral is "tRNA-Ser (GGA) (tRNA-Ser-GGA-1-1)". It matches the Rfam family "tRNA". From Rfam's summary of the family: Transfer RNA (tRNA) molecules are approximately 80 nucleotides in length. Their secondary structure includes four short double-helical elements and three loops (D, anti-codon, and T loops). Further hydrogen bonds mediate the characteristic L-shaped molecular structure. tRNAs have two regions of fundamental functional importance: the anti-codon, which is responsible for specific mRNA codon recognition, and the 3' end, to which the tRNAs corresponding amino acid is attached (by aminoacyl-tRNA synthetases). tRNAs cope with the degeneracy of the genetic code in two manners: having more than one tRNA (with a specific anti-codon) for a particular amino acid; and 'wobble' base-pairing, i.e. permitting non-standard base-pairing at the 3rd anti-codon position. Lineage: Bacteria; Pseudomonadati; Elusimicrobiota; Elusimicrobia; Elusimicrobiales; Elusimicrobiaceae. The record is from Rfam by way of RNAcentral.
GGAAAGGUGGCCGAGCGGUUUAAGGCGCAGUCCUGGAAAGACUGUAUACCCUAAAGGUAUCGAGGGUUCGAAUCCCUCCCUUUCCG